GAGAGUUGCAAUGAUUUCUCUGGCAGGUAGAGAGGUGUAGCACAUGUCAGUUUUGUCAGUAACCUGCAGUAGACCCUCUCAUUCAUUAUCUCAUUACAGAAUUUUCAUGGCACUGAAGAGCAUUUGCACUGCUGCUGGAUAACCAUAAGCAAAAAAAGACUGUCAUGCUGCACAGAGGAGGCGUUUGGAGGCUGCUUUUAUGGAUGGACUGUUGGAACACUUAAUAUAGCUCUAUUUUUGAAUUAUCAGGUUCUAUCCUUUUGAAGUCUGUGUUAGUGGAACUCCUAUUUAUGAAAUGUGCUGUGCUUAAAGGUUUGCUAUUGAUGAAGAGGUCCAACAGAGGCCUUUAUCCUAAGUACUGUAGCAUUCUCCCUGAGAAAUAAAUAGCCUUGCUAAAAGGUAUGUUGUGUACCAAGGUUGCAAAUUAUCAGCCAAGCACCUUGUAACUAUAUACUUCAAAAAUACCUUUCUGCUUUCUGUUUGUUCUCUUCUUCCACAGCAUGACUGUUGUUUUUAAAAACAUAUAAGGAAAAAAAAAACCACCAAAAACCCAAUUUGUUAUCUCUUUAAUUGGACAGCGUGUCCUCGAGUAAGAAGGUAACACUUCAGUGUACAUAUUUAGCUGAGGAGGAGCUGUUUGCAGGUGUGUCCUUCUCAGCAUUAAGCACUGUGAGUUUUGGGGGAGUUUUCAGCCCUCGUUCAGGGAUUGAUUGGAACUGCUGAUUUAUUGCAAAAUUCCACCACUGUGGCAGCCAUGCCAGCACUUGCAACGAGCUGAGGAUUACUACCAAUUAUUUAGGAAACGAUGACGAGAACAACGUGAUACAUACAAAGCAGAAGAAAAAUGUCAGGCAUCUCCCCUUACCAAAUGUUGACAGUCAAAGAGCAGGUAGGAGGGAGCUUCAUUUCCCUCGAGUGCUGCAAUUAAUGAGAGCUCAGGCAUGCGAGUUCCUGGGUGCUCUUUCUCCCCUUUGAGAUCAGCUACCAAACCUCUCUCUAAUUCUGUUAUUUACCAUCGCUCUGUAGCCUAAGCUCACGGGACCUGAAACCAAAGCACACAGAUGAUAACAAACACAUUAUGUCUCUGUCUGCUGUUGAGUUCCAUCGCUUUUAGCCUACAGAAUUCAUCUGAAAUUAAUAAGCCAUGUUAAUACGUGUAUUUUUCUAUUUUUUAUUAUCAAGAAACGCUGACCUCUGUGGAGUAUACUGCAUCCAUCCAAGUUCCUUAACAACUUCUCCAGAGGCUUUCCUUGCAAACCUGGGAUGCUGUGAGUGGAGGGGACCAGUGUUGGACCACGGGUUGAUGGUGCAGCGUUCAAUAUUGAAUUGUGACCAUUCUUUGGCCAUGAGAUAACCUUGCUUCAGUAGUGCUGAGUGCCCACAAGGAACAUCUCCAAUGUAAUAUGAUGGAAGUGAAAGAAAGAAAGAAAUCCAGCCUGGC
This is a long non-coding RNA of Tympanuchus pallidicinctus (lesser prairie-chicken), 1441 nucleotides long. RefSeq lists it as uncharacterized. The transcript has 3 exons. The record is from RefSeq and is a predicted model, not a curated record. NCBI's taxonomy places the organism in Eukaryota, Metazoa, Chordata, Aves, Galliformes, Phasianidae.